Molecule: unclassified non-coding RNA, 267 nt
Filed under: fungal sp.
Lineage: Eukaryota; Fungi
Also listed under: 1 other name
Description: partial internal transcribed spacer region
Rfam family: Eukaryotic small subunit ribosomal RNA (bases 1-46)
Source: RNAcentral
AAGUCGUAACAAGGUUUCCGUAGGUGAACCUGCGGAAGGAUCAUUAACGUGUUCGUUCGGCCGUUCGGGUCGGCCCUGCACCGACGGAGACGUCGUGCUGCGGGCUCCCGGACGUGCCUUCCAAACCAAACCCCUGUGAACCUUUGGGAAGGUCGAGCCUUCGCCGGCAAAGCCGUCCCCUUUACAAACUCUGUAUCUCAUAGAAUGACCGCGGACAUCGUCUGCCUAAACACAUAACAACUUUCAACAACGGAUCUCUUGGCUCUC